Long non-coding RNA from Dendrobium catenatum, 308 nucleotides. RefSeq lists it as uncharacterized. The transcript is spliced from 3 exons. NCBI's taxonomy places the organism in Eukaryota, Viridiplantae, Streptophyta, Magnoliopsida, Asparagales, Orchidaceae. The record is from RefSeq and is a predicted model, not a curated record.
CAUGCAUAAUGAAGAUAAAAUUAUCAUCUUCUUUCCUGCUAACACACCUUAGCUGUUUGGUAGAUCCGGGAAGGAAGGAACCAAACUUUGCCCGAGUGUCUAAAGAAGGAAUUCAGGCUUACAAUGAACCUGCUUAGAUCUGUGGUAUCCGAAGAUGUUUAUGAGGGAAUCCGAGCUUUUAGCAUUGACAAAGAUAAUGCUCCCAAGUGGAACCCUCCUACCCCUGGGGAAGUAAGCAAUGAAAAAAUUGAUCUCAUUUUCAAACCAUUCAGUCCAGAAUUGGAGUUACAUUUACCAGCUGAGGGAGA